Molecule: non-coding RNA, 242 nt
Filed under: Lacticaseibacillus rhamnosus
Lineage: Bacteria; Bacillati; Bacillota; Bacilli; Lactobacillales; Lactobacillaceae
Source: RNAcentral
AAAGACGCAAGGAAGAGUAACAGUGAUUUCGGUCCGCAGAGAAUCCGGCUGGUGGAAAAGGAUGACUGCAAACACUGUGAAGAUGAGCUUUGCCAUGUCACUAGCUUGUUAACGCAGACUAGUCGGUCGGAGCCGUUAACUUUCCGGACCUCGAAAGAUCAUGAAUUUCGGCGUCGUUGAGGCAUUGCUUGUGAAGGUAAUGUAAAUUUGGGUGGUACCGCGCUGCAGCAUUCGUCCCUUGG